Molecule: long non-coding RNA, 676 nt
Filed under: Struthio camelus australis
Lineage: Eukaryota; Metazoa; Chordata; Aves; Struthioniformes; Struthionidae
Description: lncRNA (ENSSCUG00000007370.1)
Source: RNAcentral
UGAAUUUUUAUUGUGGAAGAGAAUCCUGUUGCCUGUUACUAGCAAAAUCAUAUAAUUAGCUACAUGAGUGGAAUUAUAACGGGUAAGUUACUGUCAGGAAAAAGAAAAGAGCUUUUGUAAAUCAAUCACCGAACGAAAGAUACUCCAGAUUGUGACAUCACUUAGACUUCCUGCUAAAAGGAGAGAGAGGAAACAACUGCAAAUUUGGCAAAAACCUUCACAUAGAUUGUGAUAUUCAGGCACAUCAGGUUAACAAAAUGGGAUGAUGGUGUCAGCCAACAGCACCUGCUCACUGUCAUGCUGCGUGCAGCCUCCUGUCUGUGCCCACGAGGUCUGAGGAGGCUGAAGAACUGGGACAAAACCCUUGCUCAACAGGAACUGCUGUUAGCUCUCAUGAGAAGACCUUCAGCUAGAAGAGGAUGAGACAGGGAAUAAGAAGGAGCAGCACAAAAAGGACAAAAAUCCAUCUGCUGUUCUAGAAAAGAUGAUAAAAGAAAAUCAAAUUCUAAGAAAAGAAGAUGCACCAUUGAAACAGAUGGUCCUGGCAGCAUUCAGUUUGGGGCAUUGUCAGAUAGAUGCCCAAGGAAGGCAAUGGGAAGUCUGUGCCUCCAGCGCGCUGAUGGAAGGAGCAGGUUUCAUUUGUCUGGUGUUCUGGCCCCUUGAAGUAGGGUCAUGA